This 301-nucleotide ribosomal RNA is filed under the name uncultured bacterium. RNAcentral describes it as "partial 16S ribosomal RNA". It matches the Rfam family "Bacterial small subunit ribosomal RNA", at positions 509 to 808 of the family's 1533-position model. The record is from RNAcentral.
CAGUCGCCACGGUAAUACGGAGGGUGCAAGCGUUAAUUGGAAUUACUGGGCGUAAAGCGCACGCAGGCGGUCUGUCAAGUCAGAUGUGAAAUCCCCGGGCUCAACCUGGGAACUGCAUUUGUGACUGUAUAGCUAGAGUACGGCAGAGGGGGAUGGAAUUCCGCGUGUAGCAGUGAAAUGCGUAGAUAUGCGGAGGAACACCGAUGGCGAAGGCAAUCCCCUGGGCCUGUACUGACGCUCAUGCACGAAAGCGUGGGGAGCAAACAGGAUUAGAUACCCCCGAGUCCCUGUCUCUUAUACC